This 380-nucleotide unclassified non-coding RNA is filed under the name soil metagenome. Its description in RNAcentral is "partial contains 5.8S ribosomal RNA, internal transcribed spacer 2, and large subunit ribosomal RNA". The stretch from base 1 to 120 matches the Rfam family "5.8S ribosomal RNA", at positions 35 to 154 of the family's 154-position model. The record is from RNAcentral.
GAUGAAUAACGUAGCGAAAUGCGAUAAGUAAUGUGAAUUGCAGAAUUCAGUGAAUCAUCGAAUCUUUGAACGCACCUUGCACCCUUUGGCAUUCCGAAGGGUAUGCUCGUUUGAGUGUCAUUGUACUCUCACACUUCUGAUCCUUUGGAUUGGGAGCGGUGGACUUGGGUGUUGCUGCUUUACUGUGGCUCACCUCAAAUGCAUUCGUGCAACUCUUGGUUGGACAUAGUACGGCGUGAUAAGUAUCUUCGCCGGCACCUCGCAAGAGGGUGGCUGAUCAGGAGCUCUGUGCUUUCCAACUGUCUUCAGACAACAACUGACAACUUGACCUCAAAUCGAGUAGGACCACCCGCUGAACUUAAGCAUAUCAAUAAGGAGGA